Molecule: ribosomal RNA, 492 nt
Filed under: uncultured bacterium
Lineage: Bacteria
Description: partial 16S ribosomal RNA
Rfam family: Bacterial small subunit ribosomal RNA
Source: RNAcentral
AGUGAACGCUGGCGGCAGGCCUAACACAUGCAAGUCGAACGGCAGCACAGUAAGAGCUUGCUCUUAAGGGUGGCGAGUGGCGGACGGGUGAGGAAUACAUCGCAAUCUACUUUUUCGUGGGGGAUAACGUAGGGAAACUUACGCUAAUACCGCAUAUGACCUACGGGUGAAAGCAGGGGAUCUUCGGACCUUGCGCGAUUGUAUGAGCCGAUGUCGGAUUAGCUAGUUGGCGGGGUAAAGGCCCACCAAGGCGACGAUCCGUAGCUGGUCUGAGAGGAUGAUCAGCCACACUGGAACUGAGACACGGUCCAGACUCCUACGGGAGGCAGCAGUGGGGAAUAUUGGACAAUGGGCGCAAGCCUGAUCCAGCCAUACCGCGUGGGUGAAGAAGGCCUUCGGGUUGUAAAGCCCUUUUGUUGGGAAAGAAAAGCAGCAGGUUAAUACCCCGCUGUUCUGACGGUACCCAAAGAAUAAGCACCGGCUAACUUCGUG